Long non-coding RNA from Mustela lutreola (European mink), 2077 nucleotides. RefSeq lists it as uncharacterized. The record is from RefSeq and is a predicted model, not a curated record. The transcript is spliced from 6 exons. NCBI's taxonomy places the organism in Eukaryota, Metazoa, Chordata, Mammalia, Carnivora, Mustelidae.
GACAUUGAAAAUGAAGAGACUGUGUUCUUGGGUGAACUGGAGAGAAACGGAGAAGUCUUGGCCUGGACCGUACCUCUACACAGGCAUGGGAAAAAGAGGAAGGCUUGAUCUUGGGAUUUUACAGACACAGGAAGAAAGUAUUUUGGUGUGGAGGUGAAAAUGAAGGUGAAGGGGUCCUCUUUGGGAAUGAAGAGGAAAUUGAGGCAAGCUGGUAAGCUGCUUGUGAUGGUCACACCUUAAGGUGAUCCUCAAAGACCUGACUUGUAUAAUUCCCUCCUCGUGAAUGUGGGUAAGACCUGUGAUUCGCUUCUUUUUUUUUUUUUAAUAUUAUUUUUUCCAGUGUUCCAGCGUUCAUUGUGUAUGUACCACACCCAGUGCUCUAUGCAAUACGUGCCCUCCUUAAUACCCACCACCAGACUCUCCCAACAUCCCACCCCCACCCCUCCAAAACCCUCAGUUUGUUUCUCAGAGUCCACAGUCUCUCAUGGUUUGUCUCCCCCUCUGAUUUCCUCCAACUCACUUCUCCUCUCCAUCUCCCCAUGUCCUCCAUGUUAUUCCUUAUGCUCUACAAAUAAGUGAAACCAUAUGAUAAUUGACUCUCUCUGCUUGAAUUAUUUCACUCAGCAUAAUCUCUUCCAGUCCCAUCCAUGUUGAUACAAAAAUUGGGUAUUCAUCCUUUCUGAUGGAGGCAUAACAUUCCAUCGUAUAUAUGGACCAUAUCUUCUUUUUCCAUUUGUCUGUUGAAGGGCAUCUUGGUUCUUUCCACAGUUUGGCAACUGUGGCCAUUGCUGCUACAGACAUUGGGGUACAGAUGGCCCUUCUUUUCACUACAUCUGUAUCUUUGGGGUAAAUACCCAGGAGUGCAAUUGCAGGGUCAUAGGGAAGCUCUAUUUUUAAUUUCUUACGGAAUCUCCACACUGUUUUCCAGACUCACUUCUAACUGGUAGAAUAUGGUAAAGGCGAUGAGACAUCGUUCCCACAGUUCAUUUUGUUCUUUAAGACUCCAUCUUAGCAGACCAGAGUGAGAGACUCUCCUGCUGGCCUUAAAGAAGCAGGCUGCUUGGAUGUGGGCUUCCCAUGCGGGGAGCCAUAAAGCUGGGCACCGCGGGGGGCCUCUAGGACCUGGGGGCAGCCUCUAGCCAACGGCCAGGAAGAAACCAGGGACCCCCUCAGUCCCGUAGCCACAAGGAACUGAAUUCUGCCCACAACCACAUGAGCUUGGAAGAGGAUUCGGAGCUCCAGAAGGGUCACCACGCCGCCAACACCUUGACUACAGCCUCGUGAGACCCUGAGCGGAGGACCCAGAAACUGUGAGAUAAUAAAGAGUCACCACCCGAGAGUUGUGUGAACAGUCAGCCUUGCCAGAGGGCUUUUGUCAUAUGGCAGCAUCCUGGACGACGACGACGACGAUGACGACAAGUGAUGGUGGUGAUGGUGACGAUGGUGAUGACGAAAGUAUUCAUUGACCGGAAGAGUGCACUGAGGCAGUUUGAAGCUUUUGUGAAGAGCAUGGACUUGGAUUCCAGACUGAUUGCCUCAGUUGAAAUUCCAGAUGAGGACCUGAGGUGGAGAGCUGAAGUGGGCUGCUCCAGGUGCCCUCCUGGUGGAGCCAGGACUUAAACCCUGGUCUCGCUGACUUCAAAGCCUGAUGUGUAUGAGGCUAAGUCGUGUCAUCUCUCCGUGGAUAGUUCACACUUCCCAAUCAGGAAUAGUGAAAAUUCUAACAGGCUACAACCAGAGAAGAACCAAGAAUCCAAAUCAGAGAUGACACUUUCCCAUGCCGAGAGCACUUAGUUAUCUGGAGGUUGUUCCUUGGUGCCACAAGAUUUAAUUCUUUCAGAGGAGCUUGGCUCCUGCAUUGCCAGACAGAGGAUCGGGUGCUGAGGGAUCAGAGAUAAGCAGCCCAGAGUCCCUCAGGUGUACAACAGGGUGAUUCGACAGCUGUAUGUGUUACAAAAUGCUCACCAUGCUGCGCUUUGGCUAAUUUCUAGUUAUGGAGUAAUUUUUCCUUUUGCCACGAGUCCUGAUCCACAGGAGACAAGUCAGAAUGUCAGGGCCGGAAGGGACCUUGGAAAAC